GAUGAACGCUGGCGGUGUGCCUAAUACAUGCAAGUCGAGCGAACAGACGAGGAGCUUACUCCUCUGACGUUAGCGGCGGACGGGUGAGUAACACGUGGAUAACCUACCUAUAAGACUGGGAUAACUUCGGGAAACCGGAGCUAAUACCGGAUAACAUGUUGAACCGCAUGGUUCAACAGUGAAAGACGGUCUUGCUGUCACUUAUAGAUGGAUCCGCGUCGCAUUAGCUAGUUGGUAAGGUAACGGCUUAUCAAGGCAACGAUGCGUAGCCGACCUGAGAGGGUGAUCGGCCACACUGGAACUGAGACACGGUCCAGACUCCUACGGGAGGCAGCAGUAGGGAAUCUUCCGCAAUGGGCGAAAGCCUGACGGAGCAACGCCGCGUGAGUGAAGAAGGUCUUCGGAUCGUAAAACUCUGUUAUUAGGGAAGAACAAAUGUGUAAGUAACUAUGCACGUCUUGACGGUACCUAAUCAGAAAGCCACGGCUAACUACGUG
This 497-nucleotide ribosomal RNA is filed under the name uncultured bacterium. RNAcentral's name for it is "partial 16S ribosomal RNA". It matches the Rfam family "Bacterial small subunit ribosomal RNA", at positions 28 to 507 of the family's 1533-position model. The record is from RNAcentral.